Molecule: ribosomal RNA, 1023 nt
Filed under: Parasarcopodium pandanicola
Lineage: Eukaryota; Fungi; Ascomycota; Sordariomycetes; Hypocreales; Stachybotryaceae
Description: SSU rRNA
Rfam family: Eukaryotic small subunit ribosomal RNA
Source: RNAcentral
UUAUACAGCGAAACUGCGAAUGGCUCAUUAUAUAAGUUAUCGUUUAUUUGAUAGUACCUUACUACUUGGAUAACCGUGGUAAUUCUAGAGCUAAUACAUGCUAAAAAUCCCGACUUCGGAAGGGAUGUAUUUAUUAGAUUAAAAACCAAUGCCCUUUGGGCUCCUUGGUGAUUCAUGAUAACUUCUCGAAUCGCAUGGCCNUUGCGCCGGCGAUGGUUCAUUCAAAUUUCUUCCCUAUCAACUUUCGAUGUUUGGGUAGUGGCCAAACAUGGUUGCAACGGGUAACGGAGGGUUAGGGCUCGACCCCGGAGAAGGAGCCUGAGAAACGGCUACUACAUCCAAGGAAGGCAGCAGGCGCGCAAAUUACCCAAUCCCGACUCGGGGAGGUAGUGACAAUAAAUACUGAUACAGGGCUCUUUUGGGUCUUGUAAUUGGAAUGAGUACAAUUUAAAUCCCUUAACGAGGAACAAUUGGAGGGCAAGUCUGGUGCCAGCAGCCGCGGUAAUUCCAGCUCCAAUAGCGUAUAUUAAAGUUGUUGUGGUUAAAAAGCUCGUAGUUGAACCUUGGGCCUGGCUGGUCGGUCCGCCUCACCGCGUGUACUGAUCCGGCCGGGCCUUUCCCUCUGUGGAACCCUAUGCCCUUCACUGGGUGUAGCGGGGAAACAGGACUUUUACUUUGAAAAAAUUAGAGUGCUCCAGGCAGGCCUAUGCUCGAAUACAUUAGCAUGGAAUAAUAGAAUAGGACGUGCGGUUCUAUUUUGUUGGUUUCUAGGACCGCCGUAAUGAUUAAUAGGGACAGUCGGGGGCAUCAGUAUUCAAUUGUCAGAGGUGAAAUUCUUGGAUUUAUUGAAGACUAACUACUGCGAAAGCAUUUGCCAAGGAUGUUUUCAUUAAUCAGGAACGAAAGUUAGGGGAUCGAAGACGAUCAGAUACCGUCGUAGUCUUAACCAUAAACUAUGCCGACUAGGGAUCGGACGAUGUUAUUAUUUGACUCGUUCGGCACCUUACGAGAAAUCAAAGUGCU